This 437-nucleotide ribosomal RNA is filed under the name Heyndrickxia oleronia. RNAcentral describes it as "Bacillus oleronius Bacterial small subunit ribosomal RNA". It matches the Rfam family "Bacterial small subunit ribosomal RNA", at positions 1 to 426 of the family's 1533-position model. Lineage: Bacteria; Bacillati; Bacillota; Bacilli; Caryophanales; Bacillaceae. The record is from Rfam by way of RNAcentral.
UUUUUGGAGAGUUUGAUCCUGGCUCAGGACGAACGCUGGCGGCGUGCCUAAUACAUGCAAGUCGAGCGAAUCUGAUGGGAGCUUGCUCCCUGAUGAUUAGCGGCGGACGGGUGAGUAACACGUGGGUAACCUGCCUGUAAGACUGGGAUAACUCCGGGAAACCGGGGCUAAUACCGGAUAACUUUUUUCUUCGCAUGAGGGAGAAUUGAAAGAUGGCUUCGGCUAUCACUUACAGAUGGACCCGCGGCGCAUUAGCUAGUUGGUGAGGUAACGGCUCACCAAGGCGACGAUGCGUAGCCGACUUGAGAGGGUGAUCGGCCCCACUGGGACUGAGACACGGCCCAGACUCCUACGGGAGGCAGCAGUAGGGAAUCUUCCGCAAUGGACGAACGUCUGACGGAGCCACGCCGCGUGAGUGAUGAAGGUUUUCGGAUCGU